Molecule: non-coding RNA, 1006 nt
Organism: Prunus avium (sweet cherry)
Lineage: Eukaryota; Viridiplantae; Streptophyta; Magnoliopsida; Rosales; Rosaceae
Source: RefSeq, a predicted model, not a curated record
GCCCACUGAUUGCCCUCACUCUUCUCUCCCCCGCAGCUCUCUCUUCGCUUUCUCUCUCCAUUGUCGCUCCAUGACCACCACCCCUCUCUUUCUCCCUUUGUCGCGAAAACCUAAGCAUCUCUCUCUCUCUCUCUCUCUCAUAGGUCAUAAAUAGAUAGUCAUGCCUACUACAUGGAUUAAUAUUAUCAGUUUUAUAAUUCUCUGCUUACACUGCGUCCCAUUGGGAUGCUCAAGUAAAGAAACUUAAUAUUGCAAUUAGUGAUAAACAAACUGUCUCCUUGCAUGUUUUUUUGCACUAUAACAAGACUAAUAUUUGAACUAGGUUAUCUCUUGGUUUAGAAGGCAUGUUUGAUGCUUGUCAUCUUAUUGUUAUUGUUAGUAUUUUGUAAACUCUGUUUGUUAGAACCUGUGAGUGGAGAUAUAGAAGAGUGUAGGAUGUGGAAGGGUUUGAGACCAGGGGUAGUAUUCAAGAGGCUACCUGCUCUGCCCCUCAAGAUCUCAACCAAUUGCAACUUAAUACCUCAGGUUCGCUUCUCUUAGCUUCUGGGAUUCUUCUUUUAUUUUUUUUAUAUUUUUUUUUCAUGUUUUGCUUUGCGUUUGUGGGUUGUAGUCUAUAUGUAACAUAAAACUCAUGAUAAACCUUUGAGGAAAAACUUUGAUUUCCCUUCAAAGUGAGGUAUAUUAUCAAGGAUUGACAUGGAUGAGCCUUUCUUAAUUGUUCAUUAUUUGCAGGGGUAGCUUCUGAAGUUUGAUGCAGUUGGUAUAUCUUGUGAAUGAGCUCAAGUUUAAUAUUCGUGUUUAUACAUCUGUUAGUGUUUGCGUUUUGUGGAAAUAUAUAUUUAGGAAAAGUGAUCUUUUCAUGUUCCUGUUGUAAAAGCCCUUCUCUUCCCUGGAGCUGUUGCAAAAGGUGCACCACGAAAUUACCAGAUCUUCUAAGCUUAAUGUCCAUAUAUAGAAGGAACCUAGCCUAGGGAGACAACAUUGCACGUUUAACAGAAUUGAAACA